Long non-coding RNA from Magnolia sinica, 590 nucleotides. RefSeq lists it as uncharacterized. The record is from RefSeq and is a predicted model, not a curated record. The transcript has 3 exons. Lineage: Eukaryota; Viridiplantae; Streptophyta; Magnoliopsida; Magnoliales; Magnoliaceae.
AUUUGCUUUGUAGGCGAUGAAGCGGCCAAUAGUAAUGAUUCAUCUUGGAGUAUGUAUUGUUCUACUGUUCUGAGAGUUAAAACGAUACACAUCAGCUCACCAAUUCUAGCUGCCAAGAGUCCAUUUUUCUACAAGCUUUUCUCAAAUGGCAUGCAAGAAACAGAGCAGCGACAUGUUAUUCUAUAAAUUAGUGCCUCAGGUAACACAUCUCGCUGUCGACCAUCGACCCAAGUCACUAGUCAUGCCCAAAAAUAUUUCCUAAGACAGAUUAGCCUCAACAAGAAGAAGCGUCGAUCCAGCCUCUUCGACAUGGUUGGUAACAACAACACUUCAGUUCCAAUUAUUGAUUCCAAGCCCAAAGAUCCUCUCUCAACUGAAUUUCCUGUUCCAACUGUCUUCUUAUAGAACAUGCUGCGAAGUUCAUGAAAAUAUCCCUCAGGUCGAUCUUAAUUCAUUCGAACAAGAAACCAAAUUGGGAAACCAACAAACCAAGCAUCUUCAAUUGCCAGCCAAUCUUUAUCAAAUGCCCGUUUGGCCAUCCUACGGAUCACCUGGUUCAUAUCCUGAUUUUGUUUUCCAACCAUCUUCUG